RNAcentral lists this ribosomal RNA (491 nucleotides) under uncultured bacterium. RNAcentral's name for it is "partial 16S ribosomal RNA". It matches the Rfam family "Bacterial small subunit ribosomal RNA", at positions 29 to 506 of the family's 1533-position model. The record is from RNAcentral.
AGUGAACGCUGGCGGUAGGCCUAACACAUGCAAGUCGAACGGCAGCACAGUAAGAGCUUGCUCUUACGGGUGGCGAGUGGCGGACGGGUGAGGAAUACAUCGGAAUCUACUUUUUCGUGGGGGAUAACGUAGGGAAACUUACGCUAAUACCGCAUACGACCUACGGGUGAAAGCAGGGGAUCUUCGGACCUUGCGCGAUUGAAUGAGCCGAUGUCGGAUUAGCUAGUUGGCGGGGUAAAGGCUCACCAAGGCGACGAUCCGUAGCUGGUCUGAGAGGAUGAUCAGCCACACUGGAACUGAGACACGGUCCAGACUCCUACGGGAGGCAGCAGUGGGGAAUAUUGGACAAUGGGCGCAAGCCUGAUCCAGCCAUACCGCGUGGGUGAAGAAGGCCUUCGGGUUGUAAAGCCCUUUUGUUGGGAAAGAAAAGCAGCAGGUUAAUACCCCGCUGUUCUGACGGUACCCAAAGAAUAAGCACCGGCUAACUUCGU